CCUACGGGAGGCAGCAGUGGGGGAUAUUGCACAAUGGGGGAAACCCUGAUGCAGCGACGCCGCGUGGGUGAAGAAGCGCCUCGGCGCGUAAAGCCCUGUCAGCAGGGAAGAACAUGACGGUACCUGAUGAAGAAGCCCCGGCUAACUCCGUGACAGAAGCCACGGUAAUACGCAGGGGGCAAGCGUUAUCCGGAUUUACUGGGGGUAAAGGUGGCGCAGACGGCGUUGCAAACCAGGAGUGAAAGCCCGGGGCUCAACCCCGGGACGGAUCUGGAAACUGGGUGGCUAGAGUGAAGGAGGGGCAGGCGGAAUUCCUGGUGUAGCGGUGAAAUGCGUAGAUAUCAGGAGGAACACCAGUGGCGAAGGCGGCCUGCUGGACUGCAACUGACGUUGAGGCCCGAAAGCGUGGGGAGCAAACAGGAUUAGAUACCCCUGUAGUC
This 440-nucleotide ribosomal RNA is filed under the name uncultured bacterium. RNAcentral's name for it is "partial 16S ribosomal RNA". It matches the Rfam family "Bacterial small subunit ribosomal RNA", at positions 338 to 795 of the family's 1533-position model. The record is from RNAcentral.